Molecule: long non-coding RNA, 13890 nt
Filed under: Heterocephalus glaber (naked mole-rat)
Lineage: Eukaryota; Metazoa; Chordata; Mammalia; Rodentia; Bathyergidae
Description: lncRNA (ENSHGLG00000045512.1)
Source: RNAcentral
CUCAGGUGGGUCUGAGUAGAGAAGUAAACCCUAAAGCCCUUGUUUUUAAGGCUUGCUUUUGUCCUAGGAGCAUAACCUAGCUCUCUCUGUAGAUUUAUAACCCGCCCUCCUCUUAGUAAUUUAUAGCACCUCAUUAUUUCCUUUGUUACAGAACACUAUGACAGGUACAACUGAGAUCAGAACUCUUGGUAUGAUGUUGCAUUUCCUAAUCUCUCCUUUCCAGGGGAAGGUGAUAGGUAUCAUUAUGGGGGCCCAAGAAAGGCAUUGUUAGGUUCCUGAGUACUUGGAAGAGCAGCCAACCUGUGGAUCCUAUAGUCAUUAGGACCCUAAUAUCUGGUUUUGGUCAUGAAUUUUCUGAAUGAGAGCAUUUACCGAAUGCUUUCACCUCAAGAUUUGCUAAUCAAAGGCCAAAGAAUGUGUAUCUAUAUACUUUUUUUUUUUUGUUACCAGGGAUCGAACUCUGGACCUUGCGCUUGCGAGACAGUCGAUAGCACCACUGAGCUAAAUCCCCAGCAAAGCCCAAAGAAUGUAACUAAGAUUGCUUUGGCCAGCUCUCAAUUGCUAGAACAUAACUGCCAAAGUGAUCUCCACGAGUUGUGCAACAUUAGAAUUUGCAAUGUUUAUUAUAGUUGAGUGGGAUGAACUUGAGGUGAGUGGGGUGUGCAGGAGGCAUUGUGGAGACCACUUGUGCAGGUGUCAUUGGCUGCAUGUGCACUGGCCUUGAGGAUGACAUUAGAAUGCUGCAGCCCACUUAGGGGGCAGUGUAAAUUUUCUGCAACCUGUGGUAAAAGAAAGGAAGAUGGUUCUAGGUGAGCAUAUCUGGUUUGGUUUGGCCUGCCAUGUGUGAAGUCUUUGGCCCAUAAUAGUCUUAAUUCCAGACACCCCUUCUUCCUUACAGUGAGUAUUCCUUGCUGCUGUACUUGUUACAGUGGUGCCAGAAUUCUUUGGGAUCAUUAAGGAAUAUUUCAAUAUGCCCAGACUAGACAGACCUUGGAAUUCAAGGCAGCUGCCCUCCUGGGGCAUUCAGCUUGUUUGGAGAGAAAAUAAAAGGAGACUGAUGCAGGGUGAAGAAACUGGUCAUUAGGGGCAUUUAGAAUGUUCCGAGCACUGUGGUGGGCACACUACUACAUCAUCUCACUGGGACCUCUAAAAACCUGUUUAUCAUACUCAUUCUACAGGUUCUGAAACUGACGGUGAACAUGUUCUCAAAGUUGCUCAGUUUACACAUGUGGCACAGGCAGUUUUGGAAAGCAAGACUUACUGUAUUGAAUUCUUGACCUUGCUGCCUCACAUUAAUCUGUGCACAAUUUGGUGAUAGCUCAUUCAUGCCUUUCAGCAAAUGGGUCAUCAGAUAACAUCCCAGAUGAGGGGGCAGAUAGCUUUGGCCUUGUCCAAAGAAGACCUUUUGGAGAUGGAAGGUGGACUCUGGAGAUGAGCUUGAAGACCCUGACAGGAUGGGGCAGGGGAUCUCUGCCAGUCAAGCCCUUAGACAAUCUGUCCAGUGCUUCAGGAGGGCAGAGACCCCUGACUGUGGAGGCAAGAAAGUCUUAGAGAUUAGAGAGGCAGUUGUAAGGAGGUGGAGGAAACAGAGUUCAAUGGGUGAUGAGGAACAGACGGAGUCCAGAGAGGCGAUAGGAGAAGUGGGGAAUGUAGAGAAAAGAGAGAAGAUGGAGGAUAAAAAGGGAAAGGUGAUAGUACUUCUGCAGGUGCUAGUGAUGGCAUCCUCCUUUCCCAGAGAACUUGAGGCAUCACAUCUGUAACUGUCUACAAGCCUGCAAUGAUGGAAUCCCACUGCAAAAGGGUUGAAUGCUAUUUCCGGUGAGAGCUGGAACAGAAGGCUCAGCUGCUGGAGCUCCCAGGCCAGCCCUUACCCAACCAGGCUGAGAGGAGGUGAGCUCCACACUGAUCUGGCUGCUCAGGAUGUGACAGUGCCUGUAUUUGCUCAAAUCCCCUGCACCUGUUGGCUGCUACACCUGGACCUCUCUGAGCUGAGCCAAUACCCAUGGACAGUGACACUUGCUGAAAUCAAGGUCUAUUCUAUUCUCUUCCCUCUGAGAUGGCACUGGAGUGGGGAAGCCGCUCAUCUUCUUAGAGCUGCCUUAUAGCGGGGCCAACACCGAACCAGAGCAAAACAGCUCUUCAGUCUUUCUUUCCUCCUCUUUUAUCUAGGGGACAUGUGGGAAAUAUCUGGAAGGGUAUGCAAAGGUUACUUUGGAGGAAGGGGGAAUCUAGGACAUGAAUGACAAUUAACUACAGUUAAAAGGGAAGAGCCAUGUUUGAACUCUGUGUCCAUCCAUGACCACUCUAGUGGUCACGAAAUUCUGGUAUUUCCCAUGUUUUAGCUUUUCUGGCACAGAACAGAAGAUGAAAACUUCUACCCCAAACUCAUACAGGUCCCCACAACAUUAAGUUACUAACACUGGCAGCCUGCAUUUUCCUUCUUUGUGUCUGGAGCAAUUUCAUUAAAAUAGGCCCAGAAUCUCUGGGCCCUGCUGAAUUAGAAGCUACCCCCACUCUUUUUGAGCUUCUUCUAAUCUCAUAAAGAUUUUUUUUUUUAUUUCUUGAAGGCAUUUGUAUGGUAAUGGAAAAAAUCUGUAAAUGGAGAUAGCUUUAUUUUCUGUGUUUUGUCUUAACAGAUGAUUAUUUAUCUUGUCUGGGCUUGAACACAGAAAAGCAUCAGUCAGGCUCUUGUUGAAGAAAAUCAUCUUUUUGCUGGUGGCAAGAGCCACACUGCAGGAAAUAAUGAGCCCAGCCACAGCUGUUGUUUAGAUCAUGGUAGAGCCAGAAACAUCCUCUCCCAACACUUGUUUUUUUUUUUUUUUUUUCUGCUCUUUGAGCAGCUCUCUUUGAGGCAUUUACAUCAGUUGAAAUGAACCUUAAGAGCCCUAAGGGAGUAACUCCCCUUUCCUAUCUAACACAGUAAAGAUUGAUCUAUCCUGUAAAUCAGAAGACAGUAUCCAGGGUUCCAAUCUGGCCUCUGUUGCUCUCUGAAGAUGCUAUUGGCCCUUUAGUUUCUGGCAUAGUCAGUUCUGCCUGGAACUCCUACCCCGGGCAUCCUUUUACCAAUUUCCCCCUCAUCAACAGCUGAAUAGAGACAUUAAAUUGCUGUCCAGUUUUCUCUGCCUGUUAUAAAUCAAUCCAGACUCAAGACAAGGAUAGAGUGACAACUUCAAGUAAGACCUUCAGGUGAUCUCUAGUGGGAUUUGUAGUUUCUUUAAGGCCCUCAUGAAAUUCAUGGUGCACUUGUCCUAUGAAGUCUACCUGGCCACCAGCAUCUAGGUUAUUGUGUCCCCAGAUGAGUUCUAUAUACUUGUAGAUGAAUACACACUGUAGUUGCCAUUCUCUUCCAUGGUAUUUUUGUCCAUUUACAUCUCCCACUGACUUGGAAUAUCUUUGGGAGCAGGGCUAAUAUCCCCUUGUUUUUUUUAUUCAGAGCCCCAGGCCCAGUAUCUGGCAAAGACUUUGUGCUCAUUAAGUAUUUUUAGAUAACUUACUGAGCUUUAAGAAAACCCUGAAAGCAUAUCUUUCCUAAUUUCUCCUUUCCCUCAGCCUUAGCUGGAGCUCCCACAUGGAGAAGGCACCUGGACCAUUCACUUUUCUCCUGGGAGUGGGGUUGCCAUUUGUGAAACUUCUAGGACUGUAGUACUGGCUGCGUGCUGCAGCCCCACAUCUUCACUAAGAAAAGAUAGAUUGGAACAAUUGUCAGUGUGAGUGAUAGGUUGGGGGUAUUUGAUUUUAUAAUUCCAUAAGGAUAAGGAACUUAAGUUAAAAGAGUGGUCAUUUGCAAACCACAGCAGAUUAAGAGAUGGGAUAGACAUAGCUGCAAACCUCUCAGUUGCUAUCUCUCACUUCAUGCAGGAGAAGGACUACGGGUGCCUGCCUUUGGGUUAUGAAGCAAGAAUUCAACCAGCUCAAGCCUUUUUAAUGAGUCUCCCUUGGAUAUCACUGGGAUGUAGAGACAGCGCCUUUCUCAUACAGGCUGGCACUAGGAUUUUCUGAAGUGCCAGCUGUUAGAAGGAAAUGUGAUUUGAAUUCUCCAGUUCAGUAGCUCUGAGGUUUAGGUCACAUAUAAGAAUUAUAAUAUAAUCCCUAGCCAUUGGUAAUCAAGCAACCUGAGUGAAAAGUUAGGAAAGUCACCCCACCUAGCACCAGUAUGAGUUUUCACAAGAGGCUCAAUUUCACCUUUGCUGGGAUGGUAAAAAGCACAUUUUUUCUUUCAGGGACCUGUGAGUUCAUAUUCUGACUGAGCUGCAUACUGCUGUGAGGUCUUUGGCAACUGACACUGCAUCACUGAGCCUAGAGUUCGGCAUCUGUUGGGAAUGAAUAAUGUAAAUUUCUACUUCCGGGUAUUAUUUUGAGGAUUCAAUGAGAUUUCCUGUCAAACAUCCCUGGUGCAGAGUUGGCUCAAUAAAAGGUGUUGAUGGUGAUGGUGAUGAGCUGGCCUCCAGCUGUUCCUAGACCUGGUAGCAGGGCCAGGUGGAAGUCAGCCUCAGGUCUGAGACACAUGGCCUCUUACAAAUUUGUGGUUGCUGUGUCAACACUUCCAGCUCACUUUUCCACAUUUUUGUGGAACAUGUCUAGGGCAAUACUCGAAUGACAUCAAUAUUUUCACUUCCAUGAUGCCAACCUGUCUUCCUCACUCUCAUUAAAGUUAUUAUGUUCAUUUCAUAUGUGAAACAACUAAUGCUUGUAGAGGUCAAAGUCACAUGCAAUGUGAAUGAGGCAGAACUAAGAGUAUCUAGUAUUUUGAGCUGAGUUCUUUGUUCAUAAAGUAAAACUGUAAAAAUAAUUCCCAUUAAAGCAUAGAUAACUGAAGUCCAUUAAAAUACUAAAAUAAUAGAUCCCAGAGAGAUAGUUAAGAACAAAAUGUUUUCUGCCUUUGGGGAACUUUCAGAAUUUUACCCAACCUCUGAAAAUCCAUGAAAGAUUAAUUGCCGAGCCAGGCAGGUGGAAGGGUCAUGGGACUUUGGAGAGAAGGGCAGACCAUGGAAAUUUCUGGCUGGGUCUCUGUAUGGUUUAGUUUGCUGGAGCUAAAUGCUAUGUUUCCUAAAGGUUGGGCAAUAGGCAGCAUGACCAUGGUACUAGGACUAUUUCUGCCAUGGAUGUUCUCUGGUUCUCUGUACUCAGCAUGUCUGCACAUAUCCUGGGAUUUUGACCAUCAUGAGUCAAGGAGGACCAAGAUGAAGAGCCUGUUGAGCCAAUAUACCUGUUCAGAAAUUUCCGUGUGCACAUAGAGGCUGUGCCUCUUCCUGACAUAUCAAAACCCAAGCUCAUACUUGAACUCAUGUACACAUAUAUCCCAGACUUUACUUCCUUCAUCACUUGUGAAGGGACUUUGCACUGUCUUUGCCAUCACCACUGGAUUUCUUCAUUGCUUCUUAUGCCCCCUUUUUUCUUGGUGUCUCCAUUGCUCAGUUCUGCCCAUGGCCCUGAAUUUCACAGGUUAUCUGUGCUCCAGGCUUACUGUGAUUGCUCUUGCCGCCACAUGUGGCUGCUCUUCCACUUUAUCAUCAAAGAUCCCUGUGGGGAAUCCACCUGGUUCAGGUGUUGAAGUCACUUAAGUCCUGACUUUGAAUCAGGCACUGCUGUUCCUCAGCACCAAUCCAUCUCCUGGUAGUUUCAGCUCAUUUGUUAUUUCUUGGUCACAGCAUGGUCUUGACUAUAUUCUCCACUCCCUGCUUAUUAAGAUGUUCCACAAGGAUGCAUAAAAGGUAGUGAUGCAUUUUAGUUUUAAAAUAUGUGCUCAGCUGAUCUAUAAUUCUGCUCCAGGUGAAUUUCAGACACAUUUCUGUUUUUGACUCUUGUUGAUGUUGGGGUCUUGUGCUGUACUAUUAAGCUCCCUUUGCUUAUAAAAUAUUAUUUUCAGUACAUAUCAGGGCCUGCUUCACAGAAAUGUGAGCACUAGGCUGAAGAAAGGGCAAGUUCAACAAGACUAGGGUAAGAGAGAGCACUGAGUUGGCAUCUCAGCCCAGUUACUUACUAGUAGUGCAAACUUGGUCAAAUUAAUUAGCAUCUUUGAAACUUCACUUACUUAAUGAGAGUAUCAAUGUUUUAAUUGAAGAUUGAAUGUAGUACUGUCUGAAAAGGAUUUGGCUCAUACUAAGUGCUUGAUAGCCACAUAUCUCUCUUUCUUGACCCAUAUGAUAAUAAUUUUUGAGUAUUUGGAUAAAAAUGUCAAGCAAUGGAUGACAUCAUGGACUAAGGAUAUCAUUCAUAAGACCCAAGCAGAACAAUAAACUGAGAUUCUGCUUAGACCUUGAGUCUCCAGCUCUCCUGACACAGUAAUUUGGAUAGCAGUAUGUGAGUCAGUUCCUCCAUUGGUGUUUGGAUAAGGAUACUACUAGCUAUUUCUGGGGUGGUGACAGAGUCUUACAGUGGUAUAUAGAAAGCACCUAGCACUGAAUCUAGCACACAGAGGAUGCUCAAUGAAUAUUAAUUCAUUUUCCUUUUAUUCAGAGCUGGCAGGAAGUCAGGCCAACUAGGCAUAUCCUGUAGGUGCAAAGUAAUCUUGAAGCUAUUGGGCUGAACUAUGUUGAAUAGAUUCCUGGGCAGAGGGUGGCUGUGUCCUACAGCUGUGGUGUAAGGUGGCUCCAGUAGAUGUCUCUGUGAUACAGGCACCUGCAGGUCCUUAGGAUGGCCCUAUGGAUUCAGGGAGUAGAAAUGAAGGCUGUGAAAUUUGGGCACAUCAUCUGGCUAGAAAAUGUUUACAAGGAUGAACAGGACCCAAGGAGAACAAGCAUUGGAAUUUGAGUUACAUUAAAGGACAAUGAAUAAAGAAAGAAAAGAGAGAAGGGGUUCUUUUUCAGGAAAAAAGAGUAAAUUCAUAUCUUAAGAGCAGAGUGGAUGGCUGUAAAAGAACACUUUCAGAUAAAGGAAGAGGGUGUACUUAAUCUGGCUCAGGAUCUGGGAGCUUAGAAGAGGUUCAAGUGGACACAGGCGUUGAAUACAAACUCUCUUCAUUCCCUAUUGUCACCUACAUUUUUAAUAGUCUUUUAGUCUUUUUAUGUCACUUGAAAACCAUGGUAUAUGUUUCAAUGCCUUUUCCUGGCUUGUUCACAAAAGAACAAGUGUAGGUAGGCUUGAGUACUUCCUUUAUUUAAGAGAGAAACUCCUUCAUGUGGUGUUAGAAUUUGGAGAAGUUGCAGAGAGUUGCAAGAGCAGCUUGAAGCUUAAAUAGCUCUUGAUGUGUGUACACAGAUGUGUCCCUUGGGUUUUCCAUCCUGUGUGCCCUGCAUUUUCUUGCUGAAGGCAUACACAGCUCUGAGAAAUUGUGGGGCGUGAGACUUAAUUAUGAUAUGUCAACUUGAAUGGAUUAAGAAAUGCCUAGAGGAUCAGUGGAGCAUGGUUCUGGAUAUGUCUAGAUGAUUGACAUGCAGACCAUAAAUGGAGGAGGAAAGACCUGCCCAGCUGUGGGUGGCAUCUACCACCAGGGUUGUAGCCUGGAUGGAACAGAAAAGGAAAGAAGAGGGAAGUCUUUCUUUUUACUUCUUCGGUCUUUGCCAUUGUCUUUGGAUGUUUGUCUUCAGCUCUUUCAAGCUUCCAGCACAGACUCUUCAGACUCCCAAUGCAGAUCCUUAGGUUUUAUGACACAGACUCAUACCAGACUCUGCAGUGAAUCCAGGUCUUUCACCUUUGACUGGAUCAUCCAGUCUCCAGAGCAUCAAAGGCUACUUUGCAUUCUUCCACCUUUGAUUCUGCAGGCAGGUGUCUUAGGUGUACUUAGUAAAUCCUUAAUAUAUGAAAUAUAUAAAAUCUGUUUCUCUAGUGAACCCCAACUGAUAUAUGGGUGAUGCAGUUAGGGUAUUCAGUGGUCAAGACAAUCAUGGGAUGUUUUGGGGUGAGGACCUAGAACUGUAGCUAUGCAGAUGAAAUUGGAUAUUCUGGCUUCAGACAGGAGAGUAUCCUGUUGUUCUUUGUUCCUGGAAUGUGCUGGUCAUGGGUCUGUGAAUGUAGCUUCCAAAGGAGAAGUUCAUCUGACCCUUUAUCACUACCCAGGAGUCAGUGACUCUGGGUGAGCCUAUGUUAGAUGCUCAGAGCUCUGUAGAGCUGGGAGAAAUAUAGGGAAAAGCAGGCAAAUUUCCUGUGCUUAAUGAGACUUCUAUCUCUCUACUUUCUUGAAGUGGUUAGUAAAUGAGUUAGCAGGUAACUAACUGCUAAUUUGGAGAUCAAAGCUUAGGCUAAAUGAACUACAAGAAACAGCCAUGUGCUGGGGGUCCAGGUGAUGUAGAAAAGUUGGAAGAAAUUGAAAGUAAGCAGGGAAAAGAUUAGGCUUUAAAGGUACAAGAAGUGUGGUAUGGGAGGGACAGAGGAGCAGUCUGGCUAGAGCCCCUGAGUGUGGACUGCAGAGUGGAGUUUACACUGGUAGAAGGUAAAUUAAGGCUUCUAAUAACAUUAAAAAUUAUAAAAAACAUUAAAAAUUAAAAAGAAUAUCCAGCUGUCACUGUUUCAGGCAGCACAGUAUCACUGGGGACAUCUAUGUUUUAGAAACUUACUCUGCUUUUUUUCAACCAUGUCCAAACAAGUCCUCACCACACUGGAACUUGAGGUUUCUGAGUUAUUUCCCUCUCCCUGUCUUUGACACAUAUUCUCAACUGAUCUUUGAUUUCAAAUGAUAGCAGGAGGCUAUGACAGAGAAAAGGGUGGAAAAUGAGGGUGGAAAUGAGAUGAUCAAAGUAGGAAUAUUGGUAGGAAGGCUCCAACAGCAAUUUAGGCAUAAGAUGACACAGGCCUGACCAAAGGGAUAGUAAAUGUCUACAUAAAGGUGGGGGAUCUGAACUAAGCACAUCUAUAACCAUAGUAUUCUAUAGACUGAGGUCAGAGGAUCUAAAGUUUGAGCUCAGCUAGGCAAGUUAAUGACUUAGUGAGAUUCUGUCUCACAAAAAGGAGGUGGUGAUACAGCUCAGUGUAAAGGCCCUAGAUUCAAUCCCCAGAACUAGAAAUGAGUGGGGAGGGAAGAGGAGAGGAGAGGAGAGGGAGGAGAGGAGAGGAGAAGAGAGGAGAAAAAGAUGAAGCUCUCUCCAUGGGGUCAGUUGCAGGCUUGGGACCAGCUCGAUGCAGGCGAUGAUGCCUUCAUCUAGAAAAGAUUUCUAGCUUUGAUGCUUGAGUCCAUUGUUGGAUUCCUAAAAGAUAUGAAAACUUAGACAUGUAAUCAACUUCAGAACUGAAAAUUUAGAAUGCUAAGAAAAAAAUGGCUAUAAGAUAAUGGGUAUAAUUUGAACUGUGGUGAUGUUUAAAUAAUGACCAACAUGCAUGUGGAAAUCCAGCAGGCAUUUGAAAAGGUGGACAUGUAUCUGUAGGAGAUGAAGCUUUAUGUUUGGAGAUCUCUAAAGUGUCAGCCACAAGCCUGAGGCAUGGUGGAGACAAAUAGGGAGCAGGCAGAGCACAGGUCAUGGCUUAGUCACAAAGUAAAUGGCUGAAGAUGAAGAACUUGCCCAUUAUCAGAAAAAUCUGAAGACUGAACUCCUUGACUCUAAUUUGGGAUGCUCAUUUCCUGCCAUUCCUGUAUUGGUUUCCUGAAAAUUACCCACUGGGGGGGAUACAAAGACCAUAAAGCAGCCUUCUUGAUACAAAAAGCAGAUUACAGCUACCCCAUGGGAUCACUGUAGGCUCUGAAUGAUUGGAGAUCAUCUAAUAUAUCUGCUUCCAUCUGAUGAAUAGAGAAACUGAGGCCUAGGGUCAAACUUGUACAUUUAAUGAGGGCAGGUAAGAUACUACCCAGCUCAAGAACAUCAGACUUAAUGCUUGUACUUGUCCCCUUGCAAAAACAAUGUGGGUCAUUGUUCAACAGCUCAAAUGCUGGCAUCAAGAAGGCCUAGGUUUGACUCAUAGCUUACCACCUAGUAGGUCUGAGAACUGGACAAAAUUUCCUUGUAAAAUAUAAAUAAUAAGAUUAGCAACAAUGUUAAGUCUCUUCAUAGUUUGCAGGGGGUGACAUAAUCUGGAUGCUGAGCACAUUACCACCACACCAGCACCCAACAAAUUCAUUCAUUCAUGCUUCAACUUAAGAAAAGCUAGUCCCAGGGAGAGAAGGAGUAGAAAGGGUCAGACUGGCCUUGGGGUAUGAAGGUGCUUUCUAGAUUAAACUGAAAAGUAUGUUAUUCCAAGACAACUGGAGGCUGCUUCUCAGGAGAGAGGCAGCCCUGUAUUCAGAGAAGGAGCUAUGGUCAGUCGUGGGAACCAAUAGGAACAUGCAGAGGAAGGAAGCAGCAGAGAGACCACAGGCUGAACAAGUGAGAAGAAUGAAGAGGUCUGAGUGGCUAUCUCAGAACUAGGACUGUGGAAGGCACAUGGCUGCUUAAUCUUCCUGACAGUGGAACUGCUUCAACCAACAAGGUGAGCUCCACUGAGGGAUGGGAGUAAAAGCUACUUGUCACACUUUUCAUGCAGUGCAGAUCUGCAGGCCAAAAUUUCUCCUGGAAAACCGACUUCAUCUCUGGUUCAUACACUUACUUUCCUUUGCUUCCACAUUCCCCAUUCCUGAUGUCCCUUGUAGUUACACUUGCCCAAGGUCUACCUUAUUUGAGUUUCUCUCUGAACUUCCUAAAUCCUGGUGAAAAAUUAAUGAGCAAGAAGUUCUAAAACUGGAGAUGCUGUACUGGCAUGGACAUUUCACCCCUUACAGAAGUGAAUCCACUCAUUUUCUUUUCUCAUAUUAGGUGUUGUUUUAGUCCUUUUUGUGUUGCUAUAACAAAAUGCCUGAGGCUGGGUAAUUUUAAGAGAACCUACAAUAAUUUCUUACAGUUUUGUAGGCUGGAAAAUCCAAAAUCUUGGCAGUAUGAAGAUUUUUCUGCUGCAUCACAACAUGAGAAAAAGGCAAAAGAACUCAUGAGACAGAUAAAAUUUAUUUCCAUGUUAACACCAUUAAUCUAUUCAGGAUGGUAGAGCCCCCUGAUCUCGUGGGCCUCUUAUAGACUCCUAUCUCCUAAUAUUAUCAUGGUGAAAAUUAAAUUUCAACCUGAGUUUUUAAAGUGGACAUGCAAACCAUUGCAAUCUAAGGCUAAUGGCAUCCACAGCACCAAAGAAUCUCACAGCUUCUUUACAUUUGGCAUGAACAUUAACAUUUACUGUCCUUGGCUGCAGCUAAAGGAUUUUAGAAUUCACCUACUUGUUAAUUUUCCAGGACAUUUAACUGUAUAGGAAACACUAAGGUCAAGGAACUUUCUCAUAGAUAUUUGUGGCAUUAUGUGAAAUUUACUUUGCAAUAAAAAAAAUGAUCUGACACACUGCAGUGGAGUCAGACAAAGGAGGUUAAGGAAUACUCCCUCAUGAAAAAGGAAGGGAUAGACAUUCACGGAGUACAUUAUAGGAGCCCAAUUCAGAAUUAGCUGUAUCACAUUGAUUUUCUGAUGCUUCCUACAACUCUUGGGCUAGAGGAUAAUGUCUCAGUUUUAUAGCCUCUCACCCAUUAAGAGGUAGAGCUAGAAUUUGAAACCAAAUCUGUUAAACCAAGCCUAACCACUAAAUCAAAUUGCCUUGUAUUUAUUUAUUUAUGCACAGAGGCAAUAAAAUCAGAAAAUAUUUUUCAUAGGUACUGUCUCCUGGAGUUAAAAAAUGAUACCCAAACGUAACACAUUUCAGCCCUGUAUUCCUGUCAUCAAACAUUCCUCAAUGACAGCUAGUUGCACCUGUCACCCUCCUACCUUGAGAAGAGUGAAGAUGAGAGUUUCCAUGAAAGAUUUAUAGAUUCACAAGGUGCAAUUAGAGAAGCAGUCAGGGCAGAGUUCAAGCUCUAGUUCUCCAAGUUCUCUGUGCCAAUAAAUCCUCCAGCCCUGCUCUGUAGUCACACUGAUUUGUUUUUAGCAGGAUGGAAAAGUCCACAAAUGGCUUCCAUGUGUCUUUUAUUCCAUGUUUUCUAUCUCACAAGAUUGGGUGCAUUCAGGGUGAUAUGGCUAUAGACUCAUGUUUUCUAUCUGAUAUGAGCCCACACUGUGAUAGGUACUGGGAUGCAGGAGAUGGUCCCUGCCAAGUAGCAAAAAUAUAUAAUUGAGUCAUGAUGGAGCCCUGUGAUGUGUGUCUCAUUGCUGGCCACAUAGGGAGGGAGUCACUGGCUCUGCUUAGGGGAGAAGCUGCUUGGGGGUGGGUGUGUCUGGUUCAGUGACAAGAAACAUAUAUCCAUAGGACUUCUCAGGAAUGACAGGCAGAACCUGAUCUUCCAGGGCUUUGUGUAACAGGUUAGUGAGAAUGUAAUUUAUCUUUUCACUGAGGAGACCCACAAAAGGUCUGGCUUGGUCCCAACCCAUGUUCUCCUGUGUCCUCACAUCCAAUUCUCUCUGUCAGACUGAACUGCACCCCUGUGCUGUGAUGUGGGAAAGAUGGGCACUUCAUGGAAACAGGAGAUUCCCAGAGAGCCUUGCCACUCAGCUUGUCUGACCAGGUGUCCCCAUUGCUACAAUCAAUUUCUUCCAGGUUAUGAAGAUCCUGUUCUGAUCUGCCUUGGUCUGGGAAGAACUCUUGAUUCUUCAGAACUAGAGUUUGGCCCCUAAGCACCAGCCUAGUGCCUGGUCUUAUUAAUGAUCCCAUUCUGGAGAUGAGUAGCAGUCAUCCUGAAUUCUUGGGCUCUGUCUGACUUGAAAACAGUAAGGUACCGCUCUAUAGUACAGUAGGAUAAUUAUAAUUAACAAUUUAGUACAUAUUUCAAAAUGGCUAGAAGAUAAUUUGAAUGUUUUCAACACAAAAAUAGAUGUUCAAGAUGAUGGACGUACUAAUGGCUCUGAUUUUAUCAUUGCAUAUUGUACAGUGGUGUUGAAAUAGCAUACUUUAUCCUAUGAAUAAGUAUGAAUAUCAUUUAUUAAAUGAAACUUUAAAUGAAAGAAAGGACAGAAAACACUUAAUCCAAUAGAGUGUGACAGAGCUGUAACAAAGGUAAAAAUAAUUCAGAGGAGGAAGGGGAAGGUGAGAUCCUUGGCAUACCACAGCAGGUUCAUAUGUGCUUUUGCUCAUGCCCAGUUGUAACUCUGGAUGCCUGAAGAUGUGCUUGCAGACUUGUUUUCUUUAUACUUGAUGGUUAGUGAAGAUGGAGGGAAGAACUAGAAUUCAGGCUGUGUCAUGAAGCAAAUUUGCUGUCAGAAAGCUACCCUGCUUUCCAGUUCCAGUACCCUGGCCUUCUGAGUCAUGGGCAGCCUACGCUGGAAGGAGGGGAGGACAUGGUAUCUAUUGCACCAGACCAGGGGGUCACAGUGUACACUUUUGGGUGCAGUUCUAUUAAUUUUGUAUUUGAGUAUCACACUUACUGUCUGGGAACUGGUAGAUUCUUAGAACUUGUUGUCACUGGUUUUGGGGAGUUUCCUCAUUUUCUGAGCUUGUUCAUAGACCUUUGAUAGGACAAUGGGGAAAGCUGAUCAGAGGUUACUUGCCAGAUGCUGUCAUAAGCCAGAGCCAGCAGAUGUCAGGCUGAAGCAUGCCCAGCUCCUAGGCACUUCUUUCAUUAUUUUGUCAUGCCCACUCUAGGGCCUUCCAGAAAGACAGAUCAGUGCUUCCAACCUCAGUUCUACUUGCUUUCAGCUAACUCCCUUUUCCCAAAACCCAGCCCACCUGUUCCACCAAGCUCAUUAUUAUUUUUUCCUAAACAUAGACCCCACUCCUAUCUUUCUUAGCCUUAAAUCAUCUCUGACUUUCUCUGUUGUUUCCCUAGGUAUCACAUACCUAUUUUAUUGUUUGGGGGAAAAUAUUUGAUCUUUUAUAACCAGUAGUUUAUUAUCUAUAGGGAAUAUGAUUUCUUUAUCCAACAUAUUUGAAGGGAGUCUAUCAGCUUUGAGCAUUUUUUUUCUUUUGGUUAUAAAUUUUUUGACAAUACAGUGUUAUUGGAGUGCCAGAUUCUCAUUAGAUGAGACAUAGUUAUGUAGUCAAACCAUCAGGUUGGGAGCCUGGAAGCCGCCUGCCUUUUUUCUGGAG